AAGAAAUGCAUCAACAUAUUACUAGUUGUUAUAUUUAGGUGGUGGAAUUAUGGGUGACUGUUUUCUUCUGUACACUAAAAGAAGCAUUUUUUUAAUAUUAAGAAAACAAAUAUAAAAAUAAGCUACAAGGAAGAAUGAAUAAUUACUCUUUGUGUUUCUCUGUGGAAUGAAUUAGUUGGACAAAAAAGGUGGGUAAUGGGAGUGAGAGGGGGAUGACUACAAUCUGCCUAACAUGCCCCAGCUGAAUGUUUGUUUUAAUAAAUUUGUUACUUGAAAGCAUGCAGCUUCUUUUUUUAUUGCCCCACUUUAUGAGGGCCGAUUUAUUGUUUAGCUUGUAAUGAGUACCAUAUUUGGUCGUAGUCACUUGAAUGUUUCAAAGUUUACAUUUUGGAACAAUCAGUCUUAUUUUAAAAAGGAUAGAAUAGAAUAAAGAAUGAAUGUAUGCAGCUUUAUGCUUCAAAUAAAUAAAAAUCAGUUCUGACAAUGUAAGAACAUUCUCUGCUCCUC
RNAcentral lists this long non-coding RNA (507 nucleotides) under Homo sapiens (human). RNAcentral's name for it is "HSALNT0022914". The record is from RNAcentral. Lineage: Eukaryota; Metazoa; Chordata; Mammalia; Primates; Hominidae.